This 440-nucleotide ribosomal RNA is filed under the name uncultured bacterium. RNAcentral describes it as "partial 16S ribosomal RNA". It matches the Rfam family "Bacterial small subunit ribosomal RNA", at positions 338 to 795 of the family's 1533-position model. The record is from RNAcentral.
CCUACGGGUGGCAGCAGUGGGGAAUAUUGCACAAUGGGGGAAACCCUGAUGCAGCGACGCCGCGGGAGUGAAGAAGUAAUUCGUUAUGUAAAGCUCUAUCAGCAGGGAAGAAAAUGACGGUACCUGAGUAAGAAGCCACGGCUAACUACGUGCCAGCAGCCGCGGUAAUACGUAGGGGGCAAGCGUAAUCCGGAUUUAGUGGGUGUAACGGGCGUGUAGGCGGGAGCGCAAGUCAGAUGUGAAAACUCAGGGCUCAACCCUGGGCCAGCAUUUGAAACUGUGUUUCUUGAGUGCUGGAGAGGCCAUCGGAAUUCCGUGUGUAGCGGUGAAAUGCGUAGAUAUACGGAGGAACACCAGUGGCGAAGGCGGAUUGCUGGACAGUAACUGACGCUGAGGCGCGAAAGCGUGGGGAGCAAACAGGAUUAGAUACCCCUGUAGUC